AAAACAUUUGUAGCAGGGCUUAUGUGGCUACAAAACCUAGAAAGAGAUCUUAAUAUUGUGACCACUGACUGAAGUUUUCCACAGAAUGACAUAAUCACCCAAUAAAGCUCUAUUUUCCUGAGAAGAUACUUAC
RNAcentral lists this small nucleolar RNA (133 nucleotides) under Chinchilla lanigera (long-tailed chinchilla). RNAcentral describes it as "Small nucleolar RNA SNORA25 (ENSCLAG00000018574.1)". Lineage: Eukaryota; Metazoa; Chordata; Mammalia; Rodentia; Chinchillidae. The record is from RNAcentral.